Molecule: long non-coding RNA, 500 nt
Filed under: Mus spicilegus (steppe mouse)
Lineage: Eukaryota; Metazoa; Chordata; Mammalia; Rodentia; Muridae
Description: lncRNA (ENSMSIG00000025658.1)
Source: RNAcentral
UUGAAUACAACAGUAAAAGUUGAUCCUGCCAUUUUUUUCCUGUCAGGCCUCCCACAGUUCUUGCAUUGCUGUCAGGAGGCUGUAAGCACUCAGUGCCACCCUUUAGCUGAACUGAGAUGGGAUGACACAAAAUAUGAAGAGGAUCGAGUCGCACUCCCAGUGACGGCAUUUCAUUUUGCUAAUGCUCACAAAUUAAGGGUAUCUGUCAUUGCCUCCCUGAGACCGCAAGAGAGCAUCUCCCCAGCUCAUGAAUUUCAGAGCAUGCAGCCCUGAGAGGCAGAGACCUACCAAGUGUUCAGACAUUGGGCAGCUUGCCAAACCCAUGGGAAAACAAUUGCCAGCUUUUCCACUUGGUUAGGGGUAUGCUGGGUUCUCUACCUUGGAGCUUCUGGAUCAGGGACCUUCAUGUAACCUCUCAGCUUGGCAGGAUCCACCCUUGCAUCUUCUGCGUGCAUCCAAAUGCAGAGCCUAGGCUACAACAGAAAAUGUUCCAAGAUUAA